UACAUAGGCUUCAAGCGUUGUCCGGAUUUAUUGGGCGUAAAGAGUUCGUAGGCGGUCGAGUAAGUCGGGUGUGAAAAUUCUGGGCUCAACCCAGAGACGCCACCCGAUACUGCUUAACUUGAGUUCGAUAGGGGAGUGGGGAAUUCCUAGUGUAGCGGUGAAAUGCGCAGAUAUUAGGAGGAACACCGGUGGCGAAGGCGCCACUCUGGAUCGAUACUGACGCUGAGGAACGAAAGCAUGGGUAGCAAACAGG
RNAcentral lists this ribosomal RNA (253 nucleotides) under uncultured bacterium. RNAcentral's name for it is "partial 16S ribosomal RNA". It matches the Rfam family "Bacterial small subunit ribosomal RNA", at positions 524 to 776 of the family's 1533-position model. The record is from RNAcentral.